RNAcentral lists this ribosomal RNA (254 nucleotides) under uncultured bacterium. Its description in RNAcentral is "partial 16S ribosomal RNA". It matches the Rfam family "Bacterial small subunit ribosomal RNA", at positions 524 to 776 of the family's 1533-position model. The record is from RNAcentral.
UACGGGGGGAGCAAGCGUUGUUCGGAUUUACUGGGCGUAAAGGGCGCGUAGGCGGCCACCGCAAGUCGGUUGUGAAAUCUCUGGGCUUAACCCAGAAAGGUCAACUGAUACUGUGCGACUAGAGUGCGGAAGGGGCAACUGGAAUUCUCGGUGUAGCGGUGAAAUGCGUAGAUAUCGUAAGGAAGACCAGUGGCGAAGGCGGGUCUCUGGACAGUUCCUGACGCUGAGGCACGAAGGUCAGGGGAGCAAACGGG